Molecule: ribosomal RNA, 253 nt
Filed under: uncultured bacterium
Lineage: Bacteria
Description: partial 16S ribosomal RNA
Rfam family: Bacterial small subunit ribosomal RNA
Source: RNAcentral
UACGUGGGGGGCAAGCGUUGUUCGGAAUUACUGGGCGUAAAGGGCUCGUAGGCGGCCAACUAAGUCAGACGUGAAAUCCCUCAGCUUAACUGGGGAACUGCGUCUGAUACUGGAUGGCUUGGAUUCGGGAGAGGAAUGCGGAAUUCCAGGUGUAGCGGUGAAAUGCGUAGAUAUCUGGAGGAACACCGGUGGCGAAGGCGGCAUUCUGGACCGAUAUUGACGCUGAGGAGCGAAAGCCAGGGGAGCAAACGGG